Molecule: small nuclear RNA, 104 nt
Organism: Cervus hanglu yarkandensis (Yarkand deer)
Lineage: Eukaryota; Metazoa; Chordata; Mammalia; Artiodactyla; Cervidae
Source: Ensembl
CUGCUUACUUGGGCAGCACAUAAUACUAAAAUUGGAACAUACAGAGAUUAGCUUGGCUGCUGCACAAGGAUGACACACAAAUUUGUGAAGCAUUCCAUAUUUUU